RNAcentral lists this ribosomal RNA (1286 nucleotides) under 'Chrysanthemum morifolium' phyllody phytoplasma. Its description in RNAcentral is "bacterial SSU rRNA". It matches the Rfam family "Bacterial small subunit ribosomal RNA", at positions 136 to 1421 of the family's 1533-position model. The record is from RNAcentral. Lineage: Bacteria; Bacillati; Mycoplasmatota; Mollicutes; Acholeplasmatales; Acholeplasmataceae.
GACGAGGAUAACCAUUGGAAACAGUGGCUAAGACUGGAUAGGAAGAUAAAAGGCAUCUUUUAUCUUUUAAAAGACCUAGUAAUAGGUAUGCUUUAGGAGGGGCUUGCGCCAUAUUAGUUAGUUGGUAGGGUAAUGGCCUACCAAGACGAUGAUGUGUAGCUGGACUGAGAGGUUGAACAGCCACAUUGGGACUGAGACACGGCCCAAACUCCUACGGGAGGCAGCAGUAGGGAAUUUUCGGCAAUGGAGGAAACUCUGACCGAGCAACGCCGCGUGAAUGACGAAGUACUUCGGUAUGUAAAGUUCUUUUAUCAAGGAAGAAAAGCAAAUGGCGAACCAUUUGUUUGCCGGUACUUGAUGAAUAAGCCCCGGCUAAUUAUGUGCCAGCAGCCGCGGUAAGACAUAAGGGGCAAGUGUUAUCCGGAAUUAUUGGGCGUAAAGGGUGCGUAGGCGGUCUAGUAAGUCAGUGGUGUAAUGGCAACGCUUAACGUUGUCCGGCUAUUGAAACUGCUAAACUUGAGUUAGAUAGAGGCGAGUGGAAUUCCAUGUGUAGCGGUAAAAUGCGUAAAUAUAUGGAGGAACACCAGAGGCGUAGGCGGCUCGCUGGGUCUUAACUGACGCUGAGGCACGAAAGCGUGGGGAGCAAACAGGAUUMGAUACCCUGGUAGUCCACGCCGUAAACGAUGAGUACUAAGUGUCGGGUUAAACCGGUACUGAAGUUAACACAUUAAGUACUCCGCCUGAGUAGUACGUACGCAAGUAUGAAACUUAAAGGAAUUGACGGGACUCCGCACAAGCGGUGGAUCAUGUUGUUUAAUUCGAAGAUACCCGAAAAACCUUACCAGGUCUUGACAUGUUUUUGCAAAAUGAUAGUAAUAUCGUGGAGGUUACCAGAAACACAGGUGGUGCAUGGUUGUCGUCAGCUCGUGUCGUGAGAUGUUAGGUUAAGUCCUAAAACGAGCGAAACCCUUAUCGUUAGUUGCCAGCACGUUAUGGUGGGGACUUUAACGAGACUGCCAAUGAUAAAUUGGAGGAAGGUGAGGAUCACGUCAAAUCAGCAUGCCCCUUAUGACCUGGGCUACAAACGUGAUACAAUGGCUGUUACAAAGGGUAGCUGAAACGCAAGUUCUUGGCCAAUCCCCAAAAACAGUCCCAGUCCGGAUUGAAGUCUGCAACUCGACUUCAUGAAGUUGGAAUCGCUAGUAAUCGCGAAUCAGCAUGUCGCGGUGAAUACGUUCUCGGGGUUUGUACACACCGCCCGUCAAACCACGAAAGUUGGCAAUACC